CCUACGGGAGGCAGCAGUGAGGAAUAUUGGUCAAUGGGCUUACGCCUGAACCAGCCAAGUCGCGUGAGGGAAGACUGCCCUAUGGGUUGUAAACCUCUUUUGUCAGGGAGCAACGCCGGCUACGUGUAGCCGGACUGAGAGUACCUGAAGAAAAAGCAUCAGCUAACCCCGUGCCAGCAGGCGCGGUAAUACGGAGGAUGCGAGCGUUAUCCGGAUUUAAUGGGUUUAAAGGGUGCGUAGGCGGGAUGCCAAGUCAGCGGUAAAAUCGCGGGGCUAAACCUCGCACCGUCGUUGAAACUGGCGUGCUUGAGUGGGCGAGAAGUAUGCGGAAUGCGUGGAGUAGCGGUGAUAGGCAGAGAUAUCACGCAGAACUCCGAUUGCGAAGGCAGCAUACCGGCGCUCAACUGACGCUCGUGCGCGAAAGCGUGGGUAUCGAAAAGGAUUAGAUACCCGUGUAGUC
RNAcentral lists this ribosomal RNA (460 nucleotides) under uncultured bacterium. RNAcentral describes it as "partial 16S ribosomal RNA". It matches the Rfam family "Bacterial small subunit ribosomal RNA", at positions 338 to 795 of the family's 1533-position model. The record is from RNAcentral.